RNAcentral lists this ribosomal RNA (433 nucleotides) under uncultured bacterium. RNAcentral's name for it is "partial 16S ribosomal RNA". It matches the Rfam family "Bacterial small subunit ribosomal RNA", at positions 29 to 507 of the family's 1533-position model. The record is from RNAcentral.
AACGAACGCUGGCGGCAUGCCUAACACAUGCAAGUCGAACGAAACCUUCGGGUCUUGGUGCCCACGGGUGCGUAACGCGUGGGAACCUUCCCUUAGGUUCGGAAUAACUCUCCGAAAGGGGUACUAAUACCGGAUAAUGUCUUCGUACCAAAGAUUUAUUGACCUUGGAUGGGCCCGCGUUGAAUUAGCUAGUUGGUAGGGUAAUAGCCUACCAGGGCGACGUUCAAUACAUGGUCAGGGAGAAUGAUAAGAGACACUGAGACUGAGACACGGCACAGACUCUUACGGGAGGCAGCAGUGGGGGAUAUAGCACAGCGGGCGAAGGCAUGAAGAAGCAAUGCACCGUGAGUGCUGAAAGACUUAGGGUAGUAAAGCGCUUUUACCCAGGAUGAUAAUGACAGUACCGGAACAAAAAGCACAGGCUAACUACGUG